AGUUUGAUCCUGGCUCAGAACGAACGCUGGCGGCGUGCCUAACACAUGCAAGUCGAACGGAAUUGAGGUGCUUGCACUUCAAUUUAGUGGCGCACGGGUGAGUAACGCGUAGAUAAUCUGCCUGAUGAUCUGGGAUAACACUUCGAAAGAGGUGCUAAUACCGGAUAAGCCCACGGAGUCUUCGGAUUCUGCGGGAAAAGGGGGGGACCUUCGGGCCUUCUGUCAUCAGAUGAGUCUGCGUACCAUUAGCUAGUUGGUAGGGUAAUGGCCUACCAAGGCUACGAUGGUUAGCUGGUCUGAGAGGAUGAUCAGCCACACUGGAACUGAGACACGGUCCAGACUCCUACGGGAGGCAGCAGUGGGGAAUUUUGCGCAAUGGGGGAAACCCUGACGCAGCAACGCCGCGUGAGUGAAGAAGGCUUUCGGGUCGUAAAGCUCUGUCAGUGGGAAAGAAGUGUGUUUUGGCUAAUAUCCAGAACACUUGACGGUACCCACAAAGGAAGCACCGGCUAACUCCGUGCCAGCAGCCGCGGUAAUACA
This 540-nucleotide ribosomal RNA is filed under the name uncultured Geobacter sp. Its description in RNAcentral is "bacterial SSU rRNA". It matches the Rfam family "Bacterial small subunit ribosomal RNA", at positions 10 to 527 of the family's 1533-position model. The record is from RNAcentral. Lineage: Bacteria; Pseudomonadati; Thermodesulfobacteriota; Desulfuromonadia; Geobacterales; Geobacteraceae.